CUUAGUAUUAUGCUAGUAGUAGCCCCUGUACCUUGACUUGCGUGGAAUUUAUGGACAUUGUCUGUUGUCUGUUGUUGCUGUUGCUGUGGUCGUUUCUUCCACUGCUUUGGAUUGGGUUAUUGGCUGGGAACCUGUAUUUGGGGCGGUGGGUGUUGAGUCCGGUGGUGUUUGCCCCCUAAUUGAGUAUAGUUUUGUUUCGUGAGUAUUCC
Molecule: long non-coding RNA, 209 nt
Filed under: Capsicum annuum
Lineage: Eukaryota; Viridiplantae; Streptophyta; Magnoliopsida; Solanales; Solanaceae
Description: long non-coding RNA (CANN_LNC001372)
Source: RNAcentral